RNAcentral lists this long non-coding RNA (4652 nucleotides) under Lynx pardinus (Iberian lynx). The record is from RNAcentral. Lineage: Eukaryota; Metazoa; Chordata; Mammalia; Carnivora; Felidae.
GUAAAAUUGAUGUUCUUAAUGCUGUGCCGGUGACCGUGAGGGCGUUGUCAUCACCGGGCGCUCAGUCAACUUUGCUAACGUUCGCUCUGAACUCCGUGUCUGCCUUCCGCACGUGCCCGGCAGAUGCCGGCAGUGGGUGGGCCAUCCAGGGCUGAAACCUGGUUCUGAUCCGGAGGAGCUCGCAGUCCGGGGAGGCAGAAAGGGGCCAGGGUCACAGCUGUGCAUUUGUCAAGCGCCCAAGUCGGUAGAGACGGCCACCAGCCCGGGGAUCAGGAAGGUUGCCCACGUCACGCUAAGGGUAAGAAGAGGAUGAUUCUGUGAAGGAACCUCUAGAAAGGAGACAGGAGUCCCCAGAGGGUGGCAUCACAGUAGCCAGGGGACUGGGACAUAUCUAAGAGGCGCCAGGGCCAAAUGUAAUUUCCACUGGUUGUGGGGAAGAAGGCGUUGGCGUUAACAAUAUCGACAGCACUUUUAAGUGAUGCUGGCUGAAUGUAAUUGUACAGGGGGGUCUCACCCGAGGCCCUUGGCGGUGAAGACAAGGUGAGACGCAGGCACCACCUGGGCCUUGACAGCAGGGUUUGAACCGCACAGGUCCCCUUACGUGCCUGUGGUUCCCCUGAGGACGGCACAGCGUUGUAAAUGUAUUUUCCUUUGGUUUUCUUAACAUUUUCUUUUCUCUAGCUGGCUUUAUUGCAAAAAUACAGUGCAUAGUACAUAUAACAUGCAAAUAUGCAUUAGUCGAGUGCCAUCGGUAAGGCUCCUGUCAACUGUAGCGUGUUACUAAGGUCUUCGGGAGUCAGCAGUUACGCUCAGAUUUUCAACAGCCUGGGGAGAGGGGUGGGUGCCCCUGACCCUGCAUUGUCCAGGGGUCUGCGGUAGUCGCCAGAUUGGAAAGUGGGGUCGAGAGAGGAUUUUUGUUGGUGUUUUCAUUUUGAAACUGAGACAGACUUAAGCUUGCUUGCUACAUCGAGGGAAGGGUCCGCAGAGAGGAAGGGGUGAGGGACUGGGGCGGAGAGCAGGAUUUCUGAGGCAGCGGGUAGGUUGUGAGGCAGAAAGGCAUGGGUUUGUGGAGGUGAAGGUCUCUGACAGAAGGCACAGCAGUCUAGCAAACAGGAUGCGGGCCAGUGGAGGAGAAAUUUGAGGAGGGCCCUGCAGGUUUGCAGACUUGCAGGGGCCAAGGAGCUGCCUAGCUCACCAGAGCUGUGGCUGUGCUAGUCCCCAGCCUAGGGCGGGAGGCAUGAGGGUCCCCAGCCUGGGGGGAGUGCCGCAGGGGAGGGCCCCAUCCUGGGGGGAGGGCCACUGGGCUCCCCAGCCUGGGAGGAGACUGUGGGCCCCCAGCCUGGGGCAGGAGGCGUGAGGGUCCCCAGCCUGGGAGGAGGCCAUUGGGAUCCCCAGUCUGGGAGGAGGGCUGUGAAGGUCCUCAAGCUUGCAGGGAGGCCUCAGGGGUCCCCAGCAUAUUUGGGGUCUGCGUGCUGGAAGAGGGUAAGAGAGUUUGAAUCCAUCUGGGGUGGGCAUUUUUUUGUACUUUAUCAUACAACUGUUGCCUGUGUUUCCGCAGGCAUGCAUGUGCCUUCUUCAGCGUAAGGCCUGUGUAAGCAGUUCACAGUCUCAGAUGUAUAGAGGCCAGGCAGGUGACAGAGCGAACAGAUCUGGGGGUGUCUCUUUUAAACAAAACCCCACUCUAUUUAUGCAUUUGACAUGUAGGAAUAUUCUUCUUCUCCACAAAUACAGGACCCUCAUUUUUCUCCAAACUUGUCUCUCUUUGUCCACCUUGCAUUUUUGGUACUUUUGACAGACACAGGUAUUAGAGCAGUCUCACUCCCUUGCUGACCGUACUGUGAGAAAAACCACAGUCCCAGUUCAGGGACAAAUGUAUCCGUAUCAGAGGGCCGGGGCGUGUGCCCUGUGUGAAAGAUGAAGCCGCUGUGUGCCCGCCGGCCGCUUGUCACCCACUGUUGGCAGUCUGGUUUUCACAAGGACCUGGGAUCUAGGGUCAUGGGAAAUCUCUUUUAACAGUGUUAGUAAUGAAGCAGGGCAAGUACAUUAAGUAACAGCACUGUAUCCGUGUUAAUUUCCUGGCCUCUACAGUUGUCCCACGAUCACGUAAGAUAGUAGCUUUGGAGAAGUUGAGCAUAGGGUAUGUGGGAACCCUCCCGGUUUUNNNNNNNNNNNNNNNNNNNNNNNNNNNNNNNNNNNNNNNNNNNNNNNNNNNNNNNNNNNNNNNNNNNNNNNNNNNNNNNNNNNNNNNNNNNNNNNNNNNNNNNNNNNNNNNNNNNNNNNNNNNNNNNNNNNNNNNNNNNNNNNNNAGGUAUUAGAGCAGUCUCACUCCCUUGCUGACCGUACUGUGAGAAAAACCACAGUCCCAGUUCAGGGACAAAUGUAUCCGUAUCAGAGGGCCGGGGCGUGUGCCCUGUGUGAAAGAUGAAGCCGCUGUGUGCCCGCCGGCCGCUUGUCACCCACUGUUGGCAGUCUGGUUUUCACAAGGACCUGGGAUCUAGGGUCAUGGGAAAUCUCUUUUAACAGUGUUAGUAAUGAAGCAGGGCAAGUACAUUAAGUAACAGCACUGUAUCCGUGUUAAUUUCCUGGCCUCUACAGUUGUCCCACGAUCACGUAAGAUAGUAGCUUUGGAGAAGUUGAGCAUAGGGUAUGUGGGAACCCUCCCGUUUCUGUAACUUUUCUGUAUGUAUGAAUUCAUUUCAAAAUCCAAAGUUAAAAAAAUGAGUAAAAUACCGAGACCCAAUUCUGUGAAAGCCGAACAUAAUAAUGCCCUUGCUGGCCACCCGCUGGAGCCCUCUGGUUUUCACUUGGGAUUUCGUGGCCUCUGCAGUGCAUCACACAGCACCGUGUGUUGGGCAAGGUCGCCAAUCAGCAAACACUAGUGCUCUGGCUUGAAGAACAUGUUUACAGGGAGAUCGUUGUGUUAUAUCUGUGAGGUAUUUGACUUUUAAAACUGUCUUUUUCUCGUUUUAAACAGGUUUUACAAAAGAGGCAAAGUGUUCUACCUCUAGAUUUUUUCCAUUUUUUUCCGCAUAAAUCAAAACAUCUCAAAAUGGAGGCCUAACACCCUUAAAAGGGACUUAGUCUGAUCUCUGGGAGGUAGUUUUGUGCAUGAAGAAACAAAUUAAGUGUGAACUGGAGUUUUUAUUAUCCCAAAGGAUGUUAAUUUUAAACAAUACAGUCUAGUGGCAUGAGGUGUAACUAUAAAGUCAUGAUGAUCUCGUCUUUGAAUUUGACUGGUGGAUAUAAAGGGAAGUGACUGUAGCCAGAACAGAACAGAGAGAAGGAACUUGUGUUUGGUACAGACCUGAAAAUGAGCGACAGUUAUCUAGAACAAUGUUCACCCCUCUACUGAGUUAGAGAAGCACGCAGGUGAGGCCUCUGACAGGUCAAGAGACUUCCAUGGUGACAAAGAAAUGUCCAGAACAAGACUUUGCGGUGCCCCAAGUGUCGAGUAUGGCACACUAGCGUGGACGAUCGGUAAAGGAAUGAUCUAAGCACUUAUCUGACUGUGCAUGUGUUAAAAGCCUCAAGUUCGGCUUGUUUGAAUGGGCUGUUAUCUCCGAGAAGGAUGACGGUGAGAAUGAUGGCUGGGUGGUCCAUUCUGGGAAAAGAACAGACUUACGCAGACACAGUGACUAGCCCCGGAAGGGUUUCUGCAGGAAUGUGUAAAAUUUCUGUCCACUGCUGACGUUAGACACAAUCACUGAUCUCUGGAACAGAGCUACGUCUCUCAUAUCGCCUGGAAGUGAAGAGCCAAAGUCGCAGCGGAAACCCCAACACCUGUGGGACCCAGGAAACUGCGCAGAAAUCACGGCUAGAGAAGCCACGAAGACCCGUUUGCAGAUUGUUGUUCAUGUUACCGACACAGAAACUUUUUACCGAUAGCUGGUCGUAAUUGAGAAACUCUGAACUUUCACAAGGUCUCUGUUUGGCAAAAGGAGGGGAUUGUGACAACGUAAAUUCAUUAUUUUCUUGUUGCGAUGAAUUCUGGCUCAAGGUAUGCUGUCUUUGGGAUUUCUGACCAAAGCCGCAUUUUUACACUUCGAUUAUUCAUCUUAGUGUACAGACUCAGCCCUCUGACUUUUGACUGUUUUAAGAAACAAAUCCAUUGUCAGAAUAGAUUUGGUAGUGUCUUUCAACAGCGUGAAGCUGAGCCUAAAAAGACCAGUUGAACAAACACGUUCUGCUCUGAGGAUUUAUUUGAAAUACAGUAUUCAGUUUGCUAAGUUCUACUGGCAUCACUAGGACUAAGUAACCAAGCUGCUGACUAUGGGAAGUAAUUGUCGUUCAGGUAAUUUUGAAACAGGACUUAAGAUGCAUCAGCCAAUUCUGUUCCCACUUCAGCUCUUCAUUUGUAGGAAAAUUCUAGAUCGUUUCGUUGUUCCUAUUACAGAUAUUCUAGGAAGAAAAAUUACUUAAUUUGAGCACGAUUUGGGAUAGAUUGUAUUCCAUCACAUCUAAGAUGUCACUAAUUGGAAAACACACCAUUAUUUUAUAUAGUUCCAAGAGAUAAAAGCCCUGCUAAUUAAAAUACGGUAUUUGUUAGCUGAAAGAUACCUCUUGGUAACAGAGGUGUUAAAAAGAUACAUCCUACAAUCAGUGAAAUGACCCCCACGUACUCGUUUCUUCUGUUCAGGCAGGUCUUACGCUUU